This 253-nucleotide ribosomal RNA is filed under the name uncultured bacterium. RNAcentral's name for it is "partial 16S ribosomal RNA". It matches the Rfam family "Bacterial small subunit ribosomal RNA", at positions 524 to 776 of the family's 1533-position model. The record is from RNAcentral.
UACAGAGGGUGCAAGCGUUGUUCGGAAUCAUUGGGCGUAAAGAGCUCGUAGGCGGUCUGUCGCGUCGGAUGUGAAAACUCGGGGCUCAACCCCGAGCCUGCAUUCGAUACGGGCAGACUAGAGUUCGGUAGGGGAGACUGGAAUUCCUGGUGUAGCGGUGAAAUGCGCAGAUAUCAGGAGGAACACCGGUGGCGAAGGCGGGUCUCUGGGCCGAUACUGACGCUGAGGAGCGAAAGCGUGGGGAGCGAACAGG